RNAcentral lists this ribosomal RNA (20 nucleotides) under Heliconia irrasa. RNAcentral's name for it is "partial 26S ribosomal RNA". Lineage: Eukaryota; Viridiplantae; Streptophyta; Magnoliopsida; Zingiberales; Heliconiaceae. The record is from RNAcentral.
GUCAGGCGGGGCCACCCGCC